Molecule: ribosomal RNA, 433 nt
Filed under: uncultured bacterium
Lineage: Bacteria
Description: partial 16S ribosomal RNA
Rfam family: Bacterial small subunit ribosomal RNA
Source: RNAcentral
AGCGAACGCUGGCGGCAGGCUUAACACAUGCAAGUCGAACGGGCACUUCGGUGCUAGUGGCAGACGGGUGAGUAACACGUGGGAACGUACCUUUCGGUUCGGAAUAAUCCAGGGAAACUUGGACUAAUACCGGAUACGCCCUUCGGGGGAAAGAUUCAUCGCCGAUAGAUCGGCCCGCGUCUGAUUAGCUAGUUGGUGAGGUAAUGGCUCACCAAGGCGACGAUCAGUAGCUGGUCUGAGAGGAUGAUCAGCCACAUUGGGACUGAGACACGGCCCAAACUCGUACGGGAGGCAGCAGUGGGGAAUAUUGGACAAUGGGCGCAAGCCUGAUCCCGCCAUGCCGCGUGAGUGAUGAAGGCCUUAGGGUUGUAAAGCUCUUUUGUCCGGGAAGAUAAUGACUGUACCGGAAGAAUAAGCCCCGGCUAACUUCGUG